UGGUUAUAAAGGACUUGUCUAGGGGAGAGCCUGUAGGUACUCCAUUGUCUGAUGGAUCUGAGAACGCUGUCUGGGCUUGGUACCAAGAGCUGGUAUUUCACAGCAGCGACCGCCUCACAGACGAGCUGUGGGAAGCAGGAGGGAGACUCUCUCUUAGGGUGCCACUACUAUGGAGACACAGCUGGGCUGAACAAGAUUUGCUUCAAACGACAACAAGAGAGACAGAAAGUAUCUGGUUCAACCGCUGCCCGAGCAGGCAGGCACCAGAAGAGCUAGCAGCCAAUCCGGCCAUGCUCGAAGCCAGCUCUGCAGCUCAGCCAAUCAGUGACAUCAUUGCUUUCUUUAGCUUGCCCAUGGUGAUGUGAAGAUGAGAAGAAAUAGCAAGGCCCAACCAGUUCUUCAUCUGGAGACAGUUCAACGUUCUGCAAACCAGAUCUUCAGGAAUUUUACUGGGAUAAUUAUCCAAAUAAAUUGCAAGCAUUCUAUCCAAAUGGAGCUCUUUCUGAGAUGAAGAGAAUUCUCAAUGUCAAGAUUUGAACAAGAAGAGAAUGGAAUACACAAUAUGGACAUCCAUAAAAAUUCAUCAGAGAGCAUUUUACUACUGAGCUGCAAAGGUGUCUGAUGAUUUGUGAGCCUCAAGUGACUACUCUGUGGAAUCAUCUGUCCUUGCCUUUGAAUUAGCUUUCCCUAGGCCAUGAGUCAACAUUAGUAGUUUAUACAUCCAAAUUGUGUUGACUUCAUUCUCAGAUGACAAGAGCACCUCAAAGGCAGCAGCCUCAAGGAGCAGCCAUGGCCCCAGACUUGUCGCACGGAUGCAGAAAACUUAAUGGAGGAGGCUGAGGUCAGAAUGGGAAGAGUUUUUAAAAAAUAAAAAGGGGAGCUAAUAUGUGAG
Molecule: long non-coding RNA, 892 nt
Filed under: Homo sapiens (human)
Lineage: Eukaryota; Metazoa; Chordata; Mammalia; Primates; Hominidae
Description: mir-99a-let-7c cluster host gene
Source: RNAcentral